GGUGGCCUAGUGGUUAGAGCAUCCACCUCGGAUGCGGGAGGUCGCAGGUUUUAUCCCUGGCCAAGUCA
Molecule: non-coding RNA, 68 nt
Organism: Potamilus streckersoni
Lineage: Eukaryota; Metazoa; Mollusca; Bivalvia; Unionida; Unionidae
Source: the annotation of a GenBank genome assembly